UCAGGAUGAACGCUGGCGGCGUGCUUAACACAUGCAAGUCGAACGAUGAACUGGUGCUUGCACUGGGGAUUAGUGGCGAACGGGUGAGUAACACGUGAGUAACCUGCCCUUGACUCUGGGAUAAGCCUGGGAAACUGGGUCUAAUACCGGAUAUGACCUUCCAUCGCAUGGUGGUUGGUGGAAAGCUUUUGUGGUUUUGGAUGGACUCGCGGCCUAUCAGCUUGUUGGUGGGGUAAUGGCCUACCAAGGCGACGACGGGUAGCCGGCCUGAGAGGGUGACCGGCCACACUGGGACUGAGACACGGCCCAGACUCCUACGGGAGGCAGCAGUGGGGAAUAUUGCACAAUGGGCGCAAGCCUGAUGCAGCGACGCCGCGUGAGGGAUGACGGCCUUCGGGUUGUAAACCUCUUUCAGUAGGGAAGAAGCGAAAGUGACGGUACCUGCAG
RNAcentral lists this ribosomal RNA (447 nucleotides) under soil bacterium 14V-14. RNAcentral describes it as "bacterial SSU rRNA". It matches the Rfam family "Bacterial small subunit ribosomal RNA", at positions 24 to 484 of the family's 1533-position model. The record is from RNAcentral.